CGAUACCCGUCAGUGGGACAUCAUAGAGGGUGACAAUCCCGUCUUUGGUGCUGAUGUUCGAGUCCUUUACGAUGCCUAUCUCAGAGAGUCGAGUAGUUUGGGAUUUGCUGCUUGAACAUGGGAGGUAGACACCUUCUAAAGCUAAAUAUUGGCAAGAGACCGAUAGUGGACAAGUACCGCAAGGGAAAGAUGAAAUAGCACUCUGUAAAGGGAGUCAAAAGGCGUGAAAUUGUUGCGAGAGAAGCGAUUCAAGUCAGCUUGACUAGGCCCAUGAUGACAUCUGUCCUCUGGACUAGUCUCGCCAGCGGUCUCAUCUUUAUUACGGUUUGACUAAAGGUGCGGUAUAUCCUCAACGCACGGCUGGUGGAAUGGCUUGCAAUCGACCCGUCUUGAAACACGGACCAAGGAGUCUAACAUGCAUGCAAGUAUAAGGGUGACAAACCCGUAUGCGCAAUGAAAGUGACUUUCAGUGAUUGUUGUGUGGCUUGACGACCAGACAGGAAAUAUCAUGUCCCUCGGAUGGCCACUGCCCAAGUUCUGUGGUACGAACCCAUGAACAUGGAGACGGAGCAUGCAUGCUAGACCCGAAAGAUGGUGAACUAUGCCUGGACAGAGCGAAGCCAAAGAAAACUCUGGUGGAGGCUCGUAGCGAUUCUGACGUGCAAAUCGAUCGUCUGAUCUGGGUAUAGGGGCGAAAGACUAAUC
RNAcentral lists this ribosomal RNA (705 nucleotides) under Cantharellus symoensii. RNAcentral describes it as "LSU rRNA". It matches the Rfam family "Eukaryotic large subunit ribosomal RNA", at positions 183 to 936 of the family's 3401-position model. The record is from RNAcentral. Lineage: Eukaryota; Fungi; Basidiomycota; Agaricomycetes; Cantharellales; Hydnaceae.